This 506-nucleotide ribosomal RNA is filed under the name uncultured bacterium. Its description in RNAcentral is "partial 16S ribosomal RNA". It matches the Rfam family "Bacterial small subunit ribosomal RNA", at positions 28 to 523 of the family's 1533-position model. The record is from RNAcentral.
GAUGAACGCUAGCUACAGGCUUAACACAUGCAAGUCGAGGGGUAACGAGAAGAAAGCUUGCUUUCCUUGUCGACGACCGGCGCACGGGUGAGUAACGCGUAUCCAACCUGCCCCCAACUAGGGAAUAACCUUGCGAAAGUAAGACUAAUACCCUAUAAUUUCCUCAGAUGACAUCUGACGAGGAAUAAAGAUUUAUCGGUUGUGGAUGGGGAUGCGUCUGAUUAGCUUGUUGGCGGGGUAACGGCCCACCAAGGCAACGAUCAGUAGGGGUUCUGAGAGGAAGGUCCCCCACAUUGGAACUGAGACACGGUCCAAACUCCUACGGGAGGCAGCAGUGAGGAAUAUUGGUCAAUGGGCGGAAGCCUGAACCAGCCAAGUAGCGUGCAGGAUGACGGCCCUAUGGGUUGUAAACUGCUUUUAUACAGGAAUAAAGUGAGUCUCGUGAGACUUUUUGCAUGUACCUUAUGAAUAAGGACCGGCUAAUUCCGUGCCAGCCGCCGCGGUAA